CCAUAUGAUGCUCGUUAUGAGGUAAUCAUAUAGGCUAGAUACCGUGAGUUAACGAGGUCGUUUACAUGCACGUGAGUGCACGGAUAUCGGUUAAUUAUUCAAAUGACUGAAAAACACGGAGAAAACCGCAACCGCAUCGUCAUGUGUUUUUUUUUUUAGAUGUAUGCAAACAGGGAAAAUAUCGCCAAACCAACAAUUCAUUUUACCUCAGAAUAUGCACAGAUUGGAUGCAUUGUGUGUUGUAAGCUUUUCGUGGCGCUAGAUGUCAGACAGAUGCAAAUAGCAAAUACAUACGAAAGUGUAAAACGUGUAUGGCGAACAUUUGUUUUUCUGUCAUUAUAGAUGCUAGUUUGGUGAAAGUACACACUGAGUGCUUCAAAUCAUUCAGAAGAGAUGCUGUUUUUAGGGCAGUUUAUUAAAGAAGACCUGACAUGGAUGACUUCCAAUGAGAAACGACUGCUAAUACUUAUAUAAAUUCAUUACAGAAGGACCCUACCAGACUAUAUUUGAAUACGGCAUACCCGUGAAUUCUGGAACUGUUAUUCCUUAACCCAGUUUGGAGGAUAAGAGCUUACCAACUAUAAAUAUGCUGAGGUGAUGUAUUGCAAAAUAGCCAACAUACAACAAUUAAAGGAUAAUUGCAGCCUAUAUCCUGAUGAAGAUAUGGAUGACCCUCUGUCUGGUCAACAGGAGUUCAAAUAUGGAUGGGACAGUUAUGUGGCAGCUCUUCCCUGGCUCAUUCACCUCUUGCCUUCAUUUGUGAAAGGAGGAAAGACUGGAGAGGGUCAAUGUGCAACUGAAGCUACUGAUUGUGCUGUGUAAGUUUUUUGGUAUUUUGUUCUAGUUAUUUAUUCAGCAGUUAGUUUGCUUGCAUUGUUCACCCCAUGUAAAUGCAUACAAGUUCAUAAAUACACAUCAAAUACAUUCAUCAAAUACACUCUUUUAAAACACUUAGGUGAUGAGCAUCAAUCCAUGCUUUGAGGGGGAUGAAUCAGCACACCCCUGCCUGCUCUGCGUUGGGAACAAAAGUUGCAUCUAGAAUUUUUGCAUCAUUCUGGACCAAAAAGCCAUUCCCUCCAUGAUGAAGACCACUGAUGCAACCUUCCACUACAUCAUGAGUAAAACAACUACAGAACUUAAUACCAGGUUGGAACGUAUUUAAGAAAAAUGAAACGUCUUUUGAAUUGAAAUGUCUGUUUUGUUAUGGAAAAAUCUUUAGUAUUGUGAAGGAUAAGCAUUUCUGCUUGCCGAUAAGGUAAUUGCAUGUAUUUUAAUGUUCAAGUUUUGAGUAGGGUGGCUAAUUUUUUUAACUCUUAUUUGAUUUAUUAAAGACCUUUAUAAUAAGUGGUUUUCAUGUCACUGCGCUGUGGUAUAAGAUAACUUUCAUUAUUCCGUACUGUAUUCUGUUUCUAAUUGUAGCUGAGGUAUUUAAAUAAGCAGUGUUAAAUGCAAAGUGUUGUGUGUAUCAAUGUAAAUAUUAAAUGUGAUUUACUU
This is a non-coding RNA of Misgurnus anguillicaudatus (oriental weatherfish), 1494 nucleotides long. The record is from RefSeq and is a predicted model, not a curated record. NCBI's taxonomy places the organism in Eukaryota, Metazoa, Chordata, Actinopteri, Cypriniformes, Cobitidae.